This 393-nucleotide ribosomal RNA is filed under the name uncultured bacterium. RNAcentral describes it as "bacterial SSU rRNA". It matches the Rfam family "Bacterial small subunit ribosomal RNA", at positions 28 to 420 of the family's 1533-position model. The record is from RNAcentral.
GACGAACGCUGGCGGCGUGCUUAACACAUGCAAGUCGAACGGAUCACAGGGCUUCGGUUUUGUGGUGAGUGGCGAACGGGUGAGUAACACGUGAGUAACCUGCCCCGAACUUUGGGAUAACGGCUCGAAAGGGCUGCUAAUACCGAAUGUUGAAUCCUUGUCGCAUGGUGGGGGUUUGAAAGUUUUUUCGGUUCGGGAUGGGCUCGCGGCCUAUCAGCUUGUUGGUGGGGUGAUGGCCUACCAAGGCGUCGACGGGUAGCCGGCCUGAGAGGGCGACCGGCCACACUGGGACUGAGAUACGGCCCAGACUCCUACGGGAGGCAGCAGUGGGGAAUAUUGCACAAUGGGCGGAAGCCUGAUGCAGCAACGCCGCGUGCGGGAUGAAGGCCUCGG